RNAcentral lists this ribosomal RNA (868 nucleotides) under uncultured archaeon. Its description in RNAcentral is "bacterial SSU rRNA". It matches the Rfam family "Archaeal small subunit ribosomal RNA", at positions 1 to 878 of the family's 1478-position model. The record is from RNAcentral.
CUCCGGUUGAUCCUGCCGGACCCGACUGCUAUCAGAGUGAGAUUAAGCCAUGCGAGUUAACGUAGCAAUACGUGGCGCACGGCUCAGUAACACGUAGUCAACAUGCCCAGAGGACGUGGAUAACCUCGGGAAACUGAGUCUAAACCGCGAUAAGUGAGGAUUUCUGGAAUGGUUCCUGACUAAAAUCUAUAUGGCCUCUGGAUUGGACUGCGGCCGAUCAGGCUGUUGGUGAGGUAAUGGCUCACCAAACCUGUAACCGGUACGGGCUCUGAGAGGAGGAGCCCGGAGAUGGGCACUGAGACAAGGGCCCAGGCCCUAUGGGGCGCAGCAGGCGCGAAACCUCUGCAAUAGGCGAAAGCCUGACAGGGUUACUCUGAGUGACUUUCGCUAAGAAAGUCUUUUGGUACCUCUAAAAAGGGUGCAGAAUAAGGGGUGGGCAAGUCUGGUGUCAGCCGCCGCGGUAAUACCAGCACCCCGAGUGGUCGGGACGAUUAUUGGGCCUAAAGCAUCCGUAGCCGGUUCUGCAAGUCCCCCGUUAAAUCCAGCUGCUCAACAGAUGGGCCGCGGAGGAUACUACAGAGCUAGGAGGCAGGAGAGGCAAGCGGUACUCAGUGGGUAGGGGUAAAAUCCGUUGAUCCAUUGAAGACCACCAGUGGCGAAGGCGGCUUGCCAGAAUGCGCUCGACGGUGAGGGAUGAAAGCUGGGGGAGCAAACCGGAUUAGAUACCCGGGUAGUCCCAGCCGUAAACGAUGCAGACUCGGUGAUGGGUUGGCUUCGCGCUAACCCAGUGCCGCAGGGAAGCCGUUAAGUCUGCCGCCUGGGUAGUACGGUCGCAAGACUGAAACUUAAAGGAUUGGCCGGGGAAGCA